This 583-nucleotide ribosomal RNA is filed under the name uncultured Comamonadaceae bacterium. Its description in RNAcentral is "bacterial SSU rRNA". It matches the Rfam family "Bacterial small subunit ribosomal RNA", at positions 8 to 583 of the family's 1533-position model. Lineage: Bacteria; Pseudomonadati; Pseudomonadota; Betaproteobacteria; Burkholderiales; Comamonadaceae. The record is from RNAcentral.
AGAGUUUGAUCAUGGCUCAGAUUGAACGCUGGCGGCAUGCUUUACACAUGCAAGUCGAACGGUAACAGGUCUUUCGGGAUGCUGACGAGUGGCGAACGGGUGAGUAAUGUAUCGGAACGUGCCCAGUAGUGGGGGAUAACUACUCGAAAGAGUGGCUAAUACCGCAUGAGAUCUCUGGAUGAAAGCGGGGGACCGUAAGGCCUCGCGCUACUGGAGCGGCCGAUAUCAGAUUAGGUAGUUGGUAGGGUAAGAGCCUACCAAGCCAACGAUCUGUAGCUGGUCUGAGAGGACGACCAGCCACACUGGGACUGAGACACGGCCCAGACUCCUACGGGAGGCAGCAGUGGGGAAUUUUGGACAAUGGGCGCAAGCCUGAUCCAGCAAUGCCGCGUGCAGGACGAAGGCCUUCGGGUUGUAAACUGCUUUUGUACGGAACGAAAAGCCUCUGGUUAAUACCUAGGGGUCAUGACGGUACCGUAAGAAUAAGCACCGGCUAACUACGUGCCAGCAGCCCGCGGGUAAUACGUAGGGUGCAAGCGUUAAUCGGAAUUUACUGGGCGUAAAGCGUGCGCAGGCGGUUGUG